RNAcentral lists this ribosomal RNA (400 nucleotides) under uncultured bacterium. Its description in RNAcentral is "bacterial SSU rRNA". It matches the Rfam family "Bacterial small subunit ribosomal RNA", at positions 29 to 417 of the family's 1533-position model. The record is from RNAcentral.
AGCGAACGCUGGCGGCGUGCUUAACACAUGCAAGUCGAACGUGAAAUGUAGCAAUACAGAGUAAAGUGGCGUACGGGUGAGUAACACGUGGGUAAUCUACCAAAGUGUCUGGAAUAACCGAUCGAAAGGUUGGCUAAUACUGGAUAGUUCAAGCUUGUUAUAAUGGCAAGAUUGGGAAAGGGAGCUGGCAACAGCCUUCGCAUUUUGAUGAGCUCGCGUCUGAUUAGCUAGUUGGUAAGGUAAUGGCUUACCAAGGCUGAGAUCAGUAGCUGGUCUGAGAGGAUGAUCAGCCACACUGGAACUGAAACACGGUCCAGACUCCUACGGGAGGCAGCAGUGGGGAAUCUUGCGCAAUGGACGAAAGUCUGACGCAGCCACGCCGCGUGAGUGAAGAAGGCCU